UAGGGAAUCUUCGGCAAUGGGGGGAACCCUGACCGAGCAACGCCGCGUGAGUGAAGAAGGUUUUCGGAUCGUAAAGCUCUGUUGUUAAGGAAGAACGAGUGUGAGAAUGGAAAGUUCAUGCUGUGACGGUACUUAACCAGAAAGGGACGGCUAACUACGUGCCAGCAGCCGCGGUAAUACGUAGGUCCCGAGCGUUGUCCGGAUUUAUUGGGCGUAAAGCGAGCGCAGGCGGUUAGAAAAGUCUGAAGUGAAAGGCAGUGGCUCAACCAUUGUAGGCUUUGGAAACUGUUUAACUUGAGUGCAGAAGGGGAGAGUGGAAUUCCAUGUGUAGCGGUGAAAUGUGUAGAUAUAUGGAGGAACACCGGUGGCGAAAGCGGCUCUCUGGUCUGUAACUGACGCUGAGGCUCGAAAGCGUGGGGAGCGAACAGG
RNAcentral lists this ribosomal RNA (429 nucleotides) under Bacteroidota bacterium. Its description in RNAcentral is "Bacteroidetes bacterium partial 16S ribosomal RNA". It matches the Rfam family "Bacterial small subunit ribosomal RNA", at positions 355 to 776 of the family's 1533-position model. The record is from RNAcentral. Lineage: Bacteria; Pseudomonadati; Bacteroidota.